GCACCUUAGAGACCGACUAAGUUUUUUCUUGGUAUGAGCUUUCAUGUCACGAAAGCUCAUACCAAGAAGAAACUUAGUUGGUCUCUAAGGUGC
Molecule: microRNA precursor, 93 nt
Filed under: Podarcis lilfordi (Lilford's wall lizard)
Lineage: Eukaryota; Metazoa; Chordata; Lepidosauria; Squamata; Lacertidae
Source: RNAcentral